Molecule: long non-coding RNA, 711 nt
Organism: Platichthys flesus (European flounder)
Lineage: Eukaryota; Metazoa; Chordata; Actinopteri; Pleuronectiformes; Pleuronectidae
Exons: 3
Source: RefSeq, a predicted model, not a curated record
AAAAAAGUAACAGUGUAGUUCAAGUGUUCAAAUGUUCAGUGGUUAAUUAGAUAAAUUAGAAUAAAACCAUGAAAAAAAAACAUUUCCAUCAGUUUCGUUUCUCUCUGUUGACCCUUGAGGUUAUUAGGAAACGGAUUAGCAGAACGAGCGAGAGCUGCAAGGCCAAAAGAAAGUCCUUACUAAACAAACAGACAAUCCCAGCUGCAGCUCAAAGGGCAUCAUGUGAGGUGGCAUACUUAAAUGCACAGGCAAAAAAAACAAACACACAAUCGGUGAACCGUUAAUUAAACCCGCUGCUGUAGCAAAAGUCCAGCCAUGCAUGGGGAUAAAUUUGCCCGUGAUCUGGAAUCAGGGCCGCUGUCUAACGGGACUAUUCCCCGACGCAUCACCAACACGGCCCAGGACAUGACUGCCAGCUGGGGGAUAGAGUUAACAAAGGGAAAUAUGCUUUACAGGUCGUUGGGGGUCGCAUUAGGCCCCAGGUGAACCACGUGAUUCUGUUGUCAACCUACAGGUUCAUCUGACUGCUGUCGUUCAUUGGACUGAAGCCAGUGAUCUUUGACUUUACAUGAAGAAAAGCAGGGAAAAGACACCGGUCGGACCAGAUGGCAGAUGAUCUGUUGAUUUGUGAAACCAGGGUAAAGUGGAAUCGAGCACCGUGCCAAACUAGGGAAUGGAGAGAAUGUGGAUGAUGAGAAAGUAUUCACAGAG